RNAcentral lists this ribosomal RNA (1343 nucleotides) under uncultured bacterium. RNAcentral's name for it is "16S ribosomal RNA". It matches the Rfam family "Bacterial small subunit ribosomal RNA", at positions 28 to 1378 of the family's 1533-position model. The record is from RNAcentral.
GACGAACGCUGGCGGCGUGCUUAACACAUGCAAGUCGAACGGAAAGGCCCUGCUUUUGUGGGGUGCUCGAGUGGCGAACGGGUGAGUAACACGUGAGUAACCUGCCCUUGACUUUGGGAUAACUUCAGGAAACUGGGGCUAAUACCGGAUAGGAGCUCCUGCUGCAUGGUGGGGGUUGGAGAGUUUCGGCGGUUGGGGAUGGACUCGCGGCUUAUCAGCUUGUUGGUGGGGUAGUGGCUUACCAAGGCUUUGACGGGUAGCCGGCCUGAGAGGGUGACCGGCCACAUUGGGACUGAGAUACGGCCCAGACUCCUACGGGAGGCAGCAGUGGGGAAUAUUGCACAAUGGGCGGAAGCCUGAUGCAGCAACGCCGCGUGCGGGAUGACGGCCUUCGGGUUGUAAACCGCUUUCGCCUGUGACGAAGCGUGAGUGACGGUAAUGGGUAAAGAAGCACCGGCUAACUACGUGCCAGCAGCCGCGGUGAUACGUAGGGUGCGAGCGUUGUCCGGAUUUAUUGGGCGUAAAGGGCUCGUAGGUGGUUGAUCGCGUCGGAAGUGUAAUCUUGGGGCUUAACCCUGAGCGUGCUUUCGAUACGGGUUGACUUGAGGAAGGUAGGGGAGAAUGGAAUUCCUGGUGGAGCGGUGGAAUGCGCAGAUAUCAGGAGGAACACCAGUGGCGAAGGCGGUUCUCUGGGCCUUUCCUGACGCUGAGGAGCGAAAGCGUGGGGAGCGAACAGGCUUAGAUACCCUGGUAGUCCACGCUGUAAACGGUGGGUACUAGGUGUGGGGUCCAUUCCACGGGUUCCGUGCCGUAGCUAACGCUUUAAGUACCCCGCCUGGGGAGUACGGCCGCAAGGCUAAAACUCAAAGGAAUUGACGGGGCCCCGCACAAGCGGCGGAGCAUGCGGAUUAAUUCGAUGCAACGCGUAGAACCUUACCUGGGUUUGACAUGGAUCGGGAGUGCUCAGAGAUGGGUGUGCCUCUUUUGGGGUCGGUUCACAGGUGGUGCAUGGCUGUCGUCAGCUCGUGUCGUGAGAUGUUGGGUUGAGUCCCGCAACGAGCGCAACCCUUGUUCACUGUUGCCAGCACGUUAUGGUGGGGACUCAGUGGAGACCGCCGGGGUCAACUCGGAGGAAGGUGGGGAUGACGUCAAGUCAUCAUGCCCCUUAUGUCCAGGGCUUCACGCAUGCUACAAUGGCUGGUACAGAGAGUGGCGAGCCUGUGAGGGUGAGCGAAUCUCGGAAAGCCGGUCUCAGUUCGGAUUGGGGUCUGCAACUCGACCUCAUGAAGUCGGAGUCGCUAGUAAUCGCAGAUCAGCAACGCUGCGGUGAAUACGUUCCCGGG